This 399-nucleotide ribosomal RNA is filed under the name uncultured bacterium. RNAcentral's name for it is "partial 16S ribosomal RNA". It matches the Rfam family "Bacterial small subunit ribosomal RNA", at positions 360 to 776 of the family's 1533-position model. The record is from RNAcentral.
AAUAUUGGACAAUGGGCGCAAGCCUGAUCCAGCCAUGCCGCGUGGAUGAUGAAGGCCUUAGGGUUGUAAAGUCCUUUUAACGGGGAAGAUAAUGACGGUACCCGUAGAAUAAGCCCCGGCUAACUUCGUGCCAGCAGCCGCGGUAAUACGAAGGGGGCUAGCGUUGCUCGGAAUCGCUGGGCGUAAAGCGCACGUAGGCGGCUUUCUAAGUCAGGGGUGAAAUCCUGGAGCUCAACUCCAGAACUGCCUCUGAUACUGGAAAGCUUGAGUUCGGGAGAGGUGAGUGGAACUGCGAGUGUAGAGGUGAAAUUCGUAGAUAUUCGCAAGAACACCAGUGGCGAAGGCGGCUCACUGGCCCGAUACUGACGCUGAGGUGCGAAAGCGUGGGGAGCAAACAGG